This 435-nucleotide ribosomal RNA is filed under the name uncultured bacterium. RNAcentral's name for it is "partial 16S ribosomal RNA". It matches the Rfam family "Bacterial small subunit ribosomal RNA", at positions 29 to 507 of the family's 1533-position model. The record is from RNAcentral.
AACGAACGCUGGCGGCAUGCCUAACACAUGCAAGUCGAACGAUUGCCUUCGGGUGAUAGUGGCGCACGGGUGCGUAACGCGUGGGAAUCUGCCCUUAGGUUCGGAAUAACAGCUGGAAACGGCUGCUAAUACCGGAUGAUAUCGCGAGAUCAAAGAUUUAUCGCCUGAGGAUGAGCCCGCGUUGGAUUAGGUAGUUGGUGGGGUAAAGGCCUACCAAGCCGACGAUCCAUAGCUGGUCUGAGAGGAUGAUCAGCCACACUGGGACUGAGACACGGCCCAGACUCCUACGGGAGGCAGCAGUGGGGAAUAUUGGACCAUGGGCGCAAGCCUGAUCCAGCAAUGCCGCGUGAGUGAUGAAGGCCCUAGGGUUGUAAAGCUCUUUUACCCGGGAAGAUAAUGACUGUACCGGGAGAAUAAGCCCCGGCUAACUCCGUG